UACGAAGGGGGCUAGCGUUGUUCGGAAUCACUGGGCGUAAAGGGCGCGUAGGCGGUUUGGUAAGUUAGGAGUGAAAUGCCGGGGCUUAACCCCGGAACUGCUCUUAAAACUGCCAGACUAGAGUUCGGGAGAGGAUGGUGGAAUUCCUAGUGUAGAGGUGAAAUUCGUAGAUAUUAGGAGGAACACCGGUGGCGAAGGCGACCAUCUGGACCGAUACUGACGCUGAGGCGCGAAAGCGUGGGGAGCAAACAGG
RNAcentral lists this ribosomal RNA (253 nucleotides) under uncultured bacterium. RNAcentral's name for it is "partial 16S ribosomal RNA". It matches the Rfam family "Bacterial small subunit ribosomal RNA", at positions 524 to 776 of the family's 1533-position model. The record is from RNAcentral.